Molecule: ribosomal RNA, 430 nt
Filed under: Bacteroidota bacterium
Lineage: Bacteria; Pseudomonadati; Bacteroidota
Description: Bacteroidetes bacterium partial 16S ribosomal RNA
Rfam family: Bacterial small subunit ribosomal RNA
Source: RNAcentral
UAGGGAAUCUUCGGCAAUGGGGGGAACCCUGACCGAGCAACGCCGCGUGAGUGAAGAAGGUUUUCGGAUCGUAAAGCUCUGUUGUUAAGGAAGAACGAGUGUGAGAAUGGAAAGUUCAUACUGUGACGGUACUUAACCAGAAAGGGACGGCUAACUACGUGCCAGCAGCCGCGGUAAUACGUAGGUCCCGAGCGUUGUCCGGAUUUAUUGGGCGUAAAGCGAGCGCAGGCGGUCAAUUAAGUCUGAUGUGAAAGCCCCCGGCUCAACCGGGGAGGGUCAUUGGAAACUGGUUGACUUGAGUGCAGAAGAGGGGAGUGGAAUUCCAUGUGUAGCGGUGAAAUGCGUAGAUAUAUGGAGGAACACCAGUGGCGAAGGCGACUCUCUGGUCUGUAACUGACGCUGAGGCUCGAAAGCGUGGGUAGCAAACAGG